Molecule: long non-coding RNA, 578 nt
Filed under: Physcomitrium patens
Lineage: Eukaryota; Viridiplantae; Streptophyta; Bryopsida; Funariales; Funariaceae
Description: long non-coding RNA (PPAT_LNC000948)
Source: RNAcentral
UUUGGUUAGGAUUUGAUUUAGAAUUUAGGAUUUGUUUAGGAUUUAAGAUUUGGUUUAGGAUUUAGGAUUUGAUUAGGAUUUGAUUUAGGAUUAGGAUUUGGUUAGGGUUUGAUUUAGGAUUUAGAAUUUGGUUAGGAUUUGGUUUAGGGUUUAGGAUUUGGUUAGAAUUUAGUUUAGGAUUUAGGAUUUGGUUAGACUUUGAUUUAGGAUUAGGAUUUGAUUAAAAGUUGAUUUAGAGUUUAGGAUUUGAUUAAGGUUUUGAUUUAAGAUUUAAGAUUUUAUUAGGGUUUGUUUAAGAUUUAAGAUUUAGUUAAUUUUUGGCCUAAAGUUUCAAUGAAGUCCAAUAGGAUUUCAACUAAGAUUAAAUUAAGAUUGAAUUGAGAUGUAUUUGAGAUAUAUUUUUAAUCAUUUUAAUAUUUUUUUAAGAUUUUUUAUUGUUUCUUUGUAAUUCCUUUGAGGUUUCUUUGAAUUUGAUUAAAGCUUGCUUAAUAUUAUUAUAGUCUAAUUAGAAUUUAGUUAGUGUUCCAUUAGAAUUAGGAUUUUGUUGUUACAAUUUCCAUUCUACCUUCCACAGUCAG